GUUUUAGCCAGGAUGGUCUCGAUCUCCUGACCUUGUGAUUCGCCCACCUCAGCCUCCCAAAGUGUUGGGAUUACAGGCGUGAGCCACUGCGCCCGGCAAUAUUGAAUUAUUUACAGAUGAAAUGAUAUGAUGUCUUGGAUUUGCUUUAAAUUAAUCCAGUGGUAGUGAUGAGGUAGAGGGUCGGGAGGGAAUGGGGAUAUAGAUAAUCAAGAUAAUCAAGACUGGCCAUACACUGAUAACUGCUGAAGCUAGGUCAAGGGUACUUGGGAGUUAAUUGUCCUUCUUAUUUCUUAUUUCUUUUUUUUCUUUUUUUUUUUUUUUGGAGACAGAGUCUUGCUGUGUCACCCAGGCUGGAGUGCAGUGGCGUGAUCUCAGCUUACCGCAACCUCCACCUCCCAGGUUCAAGCGAUUCUCCUGCCUCAGCCUCCGGAGUAGCUGGGAUUACAGAAAGUUAUUCUUCUUUGGCUUAAUGUCCACAUGACAAAGAAUCACGCUUUACAGUCUUUAAGGGCCUAUCCCAUGCUCAGCCACCUUUCUACAAAAUCGUGGCGACGUGGGCAGGCAGACACGUGCACUUGGGAGAUCCUGAGAUCCUGUCUGCUCAGGCUGAUGCAGUGACCAGAGUCACCAGAAAACCUCUGCUCCAUCUGGGAGACCCAAGGGAGAUCAUCUGGAAGCUGGUAUCUGGGGACACACUGCUACGUUGUCCAGUCCAAAGUCCAUCAGCUUUGUUUUCUUUCUCUGUCACUCCAACAAGUAAAACAGAGUGUAGAAACAAACACUGCAGGCAAGGUUACCUAGUCUCCUUGGAAAUGUUUCCUUCCUACUGGCUAACUUUCAACCUAAGGGAAAAGGCAGCUCGAUGCUCAACUUGAAGAUUUUCUUUCACAUUCUAUUAUACAUGUGCAUAUAAAGGAGUUUCUCUUAC
Non-coding RNA from Macaca mulatta (Rhesus monkey), 928 nucleotides. The record is from RefSeq and is a predicted model, not a curated record. NCBI's taxonomy places the organism in Eukaryota, Metazoa, Chordata, Mammalia, Primates, Cercopithecidae.